This 425-nucleotide ribosomal RNA is filed under the name bacterium. RNAcentral's name for it is "partial 16S ribosomal RNA". It matches the Rfam family "Bacterial small subunit ribosomal RNA", at positions 355 to 776 of the family's 1533-position model. The record is from RNAcentral.
UGGGGAAUAUUGCACAAUGGGCGCAAGCCUGAUGCAGCGACGCCGCGUGAGGGAUGGAGGCCUUCGGGUUGUAAACCUCUUUCGCCAGUGAAGCAGGCCAUCUUCUUUGUGGGGUGGUUGACGGUAGCUGGAUAAGAAGCGCCGGCUAACUACGUGCCAGCAGCCGCGGUAAUACGUAGGGCGCGAGCGUUGUCCGGAAUUAUUGGGCGUAAAGAGCUCGUAGGCGGCUGGUCGCGUCUGUCGUGAAAUCCCCUGGCUUAACUGGGGGCUUGCGGUGGGUACGGGCCGGCUUGAGUGCGGUAGGGGAGGCUAGAAUUCCUGGUGUAGCGGUGGAAUGCGCAGAUAUCAGGAGGAACACCGGUGGCGAAGGCGGGUCUCUGGGCCGUUACUGACGCUGAGGAGCGAAAGCGUGGGGAGCGAACAGG